CGUUGAUUACGUCCCUGCCCUUUGUACACACCGCCCGUCGCUACUACCGAUUGAAUGGCUCAGUGAGGCCUUGGGACUGGCUCAGAGAGGUCGGCAACGACCACUCAGAACCGGAAACUUGUUCAAACUUGGUCAUUUAGAGGAAGUAAAAGUCGUAACAAGG
Molecule: ribosomal RNA, 163 nt
Filed under: Exophiala xenobiotica
Lineage: Eukaryota; Fungi; Ascomycota; Eurotiomycetes; Chaetothyriales; Herpotrichiellaceae
Description: partial small subunit ribosomal RNA
Rfam family: Eukaryotic small subunit ribosomal RNA
Source: RNAcentral